Caenorhabditis elegans is the source of this 57-nucleotide non-coding RNA. NCBI's taxonomy places the organism in Eukaryota, Metazoa, Nematoda, Chromadorea, Rhabditida, Rhabditidae. The record is from Ensembl.
UCUAAGCCUAAGCCUAAGCCUAAGCGUAAACCUAAGCCUAAGCCUAAUCCUAACCUA